This 52-nucleotide non-coding RNA is filed under the name Trypanosoma brucei brucei. Lineage: Eukaryota; Euglenozoa; Kinetoplastea; Trypanosomatida; Trypanosomatidae. The record is from RNAcentral.
AUAAAUAAUGACAUAACUAGGUUAGUAAAGUGACGAAGAAGAUAAUAUAAUU